This is a long non-coding RNA of Eurytemora carolleeae, 914 nucleotides long. RefSeq lists it as uncharacterized. The record is from RefSeq and is a predicted model, not a curated record. Lineage: Eukaryota; Metazoa; Arthropoda; Copepoda; Calanoida; Temoridae. The transcript has 2 exons.
AAGUAAGUAAGUAAGUAAGUAAUAUUUAUUGCAUAAUAACAUGUUAACAUAUUAAAGUGGCAGGAGAUAUACAAUUCGCAGGAUUGCGGUUUACAACAUAGAUCUCAUAAUACAGUCAUUGAAACAAAUUAUACAUUCACAAGAAAAUAAUCCAUUGGUAAUUGAUAUAUUUUUCAUAACAUGAAUGGAAUGUACAAGGUGGAGAACUGAUGUGCUGGAUGGCUGGAAAAGAGUCUCAAUUAAUAGCGGUCCGACAAUUAUUUCUGAAUAUUUUAAAUGUAGAAAGUAAUUAGCCCGUUUAACCUGUUUGAUAAACAGCUGAUUGUAAGAAGCAGUUAGCAGACUGAUGUGCGUAAUAAAUGAAUGCUUAGUUGGGAAGAAUACACUGAAUUUAAAAGUCUACAAGCUAAAAACUGGACAAAACAACCUUUCACAUCGAACAGAAUCAGAGAAGAGGCUGAACACAUGGACCUGACAUAUCUGAGAACUCUCUGAGAAACAGUAAGAUUGAGCAUUGUGCAAGAACCCAGACCUCAGGCUUAGGGAACUGUAACUGUUCGCCUUGAAAGUCUAGGAUGUACUACUUGAAUUGUUUUUACUCUGUGGAUCAGAUAAUAUCUUAAACUAAAGGAACAUUCACACAACACUAUGACAGUCAGGAAUAUUUUUUAUUAUUAUUAGUAUGCAGUGGUUGCAAUUGAUUUUUUCAUCCUUCUAAUCUAAGUAGACAAUAAUAUAAUAUGACUAUCUUAAAUGUUAGUUCAAAGUCUUCUAAAAACAAUAGUCAUUAUUCAUCGCCUCAAUAUGAGAUUUGAAUGCCUUUUCAUUUCUCCACAGGACCGGGAGGAGGGAAGUUAGACUAUUAGUUAAAUUAAAUCAUUACUAACGAUGCUUGAAUAAAAUCUAAGAAAUUA